Molecule: ribosomal RNA, 253 nt
Filed under: uncultured bacterium
Lineage: Bacteria
Description: partial 16S ribosomal RNA
Rfam family: Bacterial small subunit ribosomal RNA
Source: RNAcentral
UACGGGGGGGGCAAGCGUUGUUCGGAAUUACUGGGCGUAAAGGGCGCGUAGGCGGCCUUCUAAGUCGAACGUGAAAUCCCCGGGCUCAACCCGGGAACUGCGUCCGAUACUGGAAGGCUAGAAUCCGGGAGAGGGAUGCGGAAUUCCAGGUGUAGCGGUGAAAUGCGUAGAUAUCUGGAGGAACACCGGUGGCGAAGGCGGCAUCCUGGACCGGUAUUGACGCUGAGGCGCGAAAGCCAGGGGAGCAAACGGG